Molecule: non-coding RNA, 22 nt
Filed under: Arabidopsis thaliana (thale cress)
Lineage: Eukaryota; Viridiplantae; Streptophyta; Magnoliopsida; Brassicales; Brassicaceae
Source: RNAcentral
UUCGUAGCAGAAGUCGGGGUCU